Molecule: transfer RNA, 86 nt
Filed under: Streptomyces spororaveus
Lineage: Bacteria; Bacillati; Actinomycetota; Actinomycetes; Kitasatosporales; Streptomycetaceae
Description: tRNA-Ala
Source: RNAcentral
GCAUGCCGUGGCCCAUGGGGCCCACGGCGAGCGGUGUCCGCGCCGCCGCGAUGAUGGCCUGGAGUUCGGACUCCAGUGCGUGCACC